This 212-nucleotide non-coding RNA is filed under the name Lachnoclostridium phytofermentans. Its description in RNAcentral is "Clostridium phytofermentans T-box sequence". It matches the Rfam family "T-box leader". From Rfam's summary of the family: Uncharged tRNA acts as the effector for transcription antitermination of genes in the T-box leader family. The record is from RNAcentral. Lineage: Bacteria; Bacillati; Bacillota; Clostridia; Lachnospirales; Lachnospiraceae.
AAAAAAGUUAUGAUUAGAAGUAGUAAAAGUAGGUUCCAGUAACAGAGAGUUAUCGGUAGGUGGAAGAUAAUCUGGGAAGCUUUGAACUCGUCUAUGAACUCUGAGGUUGAACAUAAGUAGACCUUAGCGGGAAUUCCCGUUAUAGAAUUUAAGUGCAGGGUUAGCCCUGAAUUAGAGUGGUACCGCGGUAGGUUUAUCCUUUCGUCUCUUUA